This 359-nucleotide long non-coding RNA is filed under the name Fukomys damarensis (Damara mole-rat). Its description in RNAcentral is "lncRNA (ENSFDAG00000021626.1)". Lineage: Eukaryota; Metazoa; Chordata; Mammalia; Rodentia; Bathyergidae. The record is from RNAcentral.
GGGGGAUCUUCCCUGACCAUUUCCGCUGGAAGUCUAACUAGCCUGACUCUGGUGAGGAGAUGAAAACUUGAAAGGUAACCAUUAGUCCUGAGAGGAGGGAGAAAUGUUCCUUUCCCUCUGCACUUACAUCCUCGGCGUGUAAGGAUCCAUAGCAGUGUGUGGCAAGCCUGGAGUGGACGUUUGUAUUUGGAAGUAGGUUGAGAGCAACCAGGGUAAGGAGCUCUGAGCAAAGCCCCUUUGUCCCAAGAUAGCUGCAGAUUAGAGGCUGGAGAGAGACAGGAGAGCAUUCAGAGGCUUGACUUCUCCCUGUUCCCAAGAUCACAGGAUGGAUUUUUUUCAAAACAUUGGCUAAGAGAUAC